UGGAGAUCCAGGAAAGACCUGAUGUUGCAGUUCAAGUCUCAGGGCCAAUUGCUGGAGAAUUCCCUCUUGCUCUGGGAAGGCCAGUCUUUGGUCUUUUCAGACUUUCAUCUGAUUGGAUGAGGCCCACGUACAAAAUGGAGAUAAAUCUGCUUUACUCAAAGGCCACUGAUUUAAAUGUCUGUUAACCAAGACAGCUGCUAAGUGACUCAUAGUCACCAGCAAAGGACUAAGAUGUUUUCACUCCUUAGAUCUUCCCUUGUGUCUGUUUAAGAAGAGGAAUCCUCACUUAUUU
This is a long non-coding RNA of Homo sapiens (human), 292 nucleotides long. RefSeq lists it as uncharacterized. The transcript is spliced from 3 exons. The record is from RefSeq and is a predicted model, not a curated record. NCBI's taxonomy places the organism in Eukaryota, Metazoa, Chordata, Mammalia, Primates, Hominidae.